Molecule: long non-coding RNA, 461 nt
Organism: Hyaena hyaena (striped hyena)
Lineage: Eukaryota; Metazoa; Chordata; Mammalia; Carnivora; Hyaenidae
Exons: 2
Source: RefSeq, a predicted model, not a curated record
GAUACUGUUGUAUUAACAGCAUGAAAUCUAAGGAAAUAUUGUCCUUUAAGAUCAAAGAAGACAGAUACUGAGCCUCCUGACUGGCCCCAAGGGCACAACGCAAACAGGGCAGGUGAUCUGGGCACCCCAGCAAGGAAGUCAACCUCCCACCCUCCCCACCCCUGCAAGGUCACCUGAAGGCUUCAUUAACUGAGUCAAUUAGGGUUUUAUUUCACUGAAGCUACACUUUACCCAGAUAAUAUGAAAGGGCUGAAGGAAACAGCAGCCCUGUUGAGUUUUCUGCGGAGUAUCAGGAUGGGAGUGGAGCUGGCAGGGGGUCCAAGAAGAUUUCAAGCACCUUUCACCAAACUCAGUCUAUUAUCCCAACUAAGCACUAGGAACCUAGCAUUUUCAUAGCUUCAGAAACACUGGUUAUGAAAAGAGCAUAACAGAGUAACAAAAUAAAGGCAAAUUAUAAUCUA